RNAcentral lists this long non-coding RNA (1018 nucleotides) under Neogale vison (American mink). RNAcentral describes it as "Neovison vison (American mink) lncRNA (ENSNVIG00000007605.1)". Lineage: Eukaryota; Metazoa; Chordata; Mammalia; Carnivora; Mustelidae. The record is from RNAcentral.
CUGAUAAAUGCCAAACUCACUUUUCAUCGUACACUCAUAAAUGCAAAGCUCGUUUUCAACCCUUUUUGGGAAAACGGAGUCACGAGCGUGCUCCGCCCCUCGCAGGUUACUACGAAGGAAAUUCAGGUCAGGAGCGAGGCGGCGCCGAGAAAAGCCCCCUCCAAACGCCCGGGGGUCGUUACAAAGGGAGCACCUAGUUACUCGCCGCUCGUCUCGGCGCCUGGGCCGAACGUCGUUCCUACUAAGGGCAGGGUGCAGACGCUCCGUUUCUCCUCUUCGUACAGUGUAUCGUUUUCCAUUUUAAGGAGAAACGGUUCCUUAAAAACCACCCGGGGUCGGCCAGAGUGCUCCCAGUCCCGCGGGGCUCGCUGUCCGCUCGCUCCCGGACGCGCCGGCGGAGACGCGGAGCCCGCGGCGGCCGCUCACCUGGCGCCCGGCGAGAAAGGUCGCCGAAGGGUUCAUGGGUGCUUCCUCCGCCCCCGGAGAAAGUCGGUGAGCGCAGGGUCACCUUACAAACGCCAUAGGCGCUCCUGCCCGGAGCGGGGGGCGAGCCCCGAACCCCGGAGCCCCGCGCCCUCGGCCAGUCCGAGCAAGCACCCAAACCGCCCGCCCAAAGGAACGCGCCCGCCGGCCCCGCUACGGCGUCGCCGAGGAGCCAAUACCGGCUCUCGCGAGACCUCAGGUGCGCCGUCCUGGCUCUCGCGCGGGCCGGUCCGGGGGCUGCAGGCUCUGGGAAGGUGUAUCUGCGGUAGGUGAGGUCCACCAGCUACGGUCAGCAAAGAAAAGGUUCUUCACCGCUACCCAGCGAACCAGGGCUUAUAUUAAAGGCCGUUCCUGCCCGUCACCCCAGUUUAUGACGGUUGACCUGCUCACUUCUCUCCGGUCUCGUCCGCGGGCACUGAGAACGGUGCCUGGCCAUUCACAGGAAUGCUUGGACGGACGCAGACGCCAGCCCCGGGAGUCAGAUGCUGGCCAGCCAGCAGACAGCCCGAAACGAACCAACAGAUGGCGGGGAGAG